GCCCGUUUAGCUCAGUGGUAGAGCGCGCCACUCGUAUCCCAGCACAUCCAGUGCAACAUGGUUAUGGUGAGGUCGGUUGUUCAAACCAGCCAACGGGCA
This is a non-coding RNA of Athelia sp. TMB, 99 nucleotides long. The record is from the annotation of a GenBank genome assembly. Lineage: Eukaryota; Fungi; Basidiomycota; Agaricomycetes; Atheliales; Atheliaceae.